RNAcentral lists this ribosomal RNA (253 nucleotides) under uncultured bacterium. RNAcentral describes it as "partial 16S ribosomal RNA". It matches the Rfam family "Bacterial small subunit ribosomal RNA", at positions 524 to 776 of the family's 1533-position model. The record is from RNAcentral.
UACGUAGGGGGCAAGCGUUGUCCGGAUUUAUUGGGCGUAAAGAGCGUGUAGGCGGCCAUGCAGGUCCGUUGUGAAAACUCGAGGCUCAACCUCGAGACGCCGAUGGAAACCGUGUGGCUAGAGUCCGGAAGAGGAGAGUGGAAUUCCUGGUGUAGCGGCGAAAUGCGCAGAUAUCAGGAAGAACACCCGUGGCUAAGGCGGCUCUCUAGUACGGUACUGACGCUGAGACGCGAAAGCGUGGGGAGCGAACAGG